Molecule: non-coding RNA, 671 nt
Organism: Arachis ipaensis
Lineage: Eukaryota; Viridiplantae; Streptophyta; Magnoliopsida; Fabales; Fabaceae
Source: RefSeq, a predicted model, not a curated record
UAAUUUUUUCAAUUUUUCAAAAUUGAGAGACUGAGUUAGCUGUGAUACUGAGUUAGGUGAGUGAGAACUUGCCGAGUACUUUUUAGGGUUCCACCGCCAUUUUUGCAUCAUUCCCGCUGCCAUUUCUGCCGCCGGCAUCGCCAGCGGCACCGCCACCACUGCCGUGUCCGUUGCGGUAGAGAGCUUCUGCCAUGUCCAUUCUAUACUGUUGUUGCUGCCACAGUGAAGUUUCCAGAUCUGUUCAUUAUUAAUUUGUUCGCUAUUAAUCGAGCCACCUCCUCGCUAUUAAUUUCCAGAUCUGUACGCUAUUAAUCGAGCCACCUCCUCAACGCGUUUUUGGAUCUGUUCGCUUCCAAGCUUCUUCUUCGACGCAACUUUCUCUCCCUCCAUAUUUCUCCUCUGCCGUUGAGUAAAUUUCAGAUUAUAUUGUAAACCAAAAGUUCUCUGGAUGCCAAGCAUGAGGAACAAGAUUAUUUUUCGCUCUUUAUCUAGCUGGGACUCAACCUCAACAAGCUUAGCUCUCGUUUCAUUGCAUUCUUUCCUAGCAUUGCCUGUCUCCCUCUUCUGGGCCUCUAAUUCACCCAGCAGCUACUGAACCAUAUUAGAUUUUGAAGACUGAGGUCCUCCUCUAGAACCUAGCACACAUGUUUUAUUCCUGACCACUAUUGUAG